Molecule: long non-coding RNA, 1208 nt
Filed under: Drosophila guanche
Lineage: Eukaryota; Metazoa; Arthropoda; Insecta; Diptera; Drosophilidae
Source: RNAcentral
GUGUGAGACGCUUCUUACGCGUCUCAACUUUUAUACCCGGUACUCAGUACUACAUACACCUGUACCUUAGCGUUUUUUGUCAAAUUUAUGAUGAUUUUAUUGUCUAUUUUUUUACUUUCAGCUAAAAUAUGCUUCUCGUACAUGCAUAAAUAAUGAACAACUCGAUAAAUAAUGUGUGUGAGAUAUAAUGUGUAUCUCUUGGCGAUUUUCGGGUACUGUAAUAUAGUUUUAGGCUUGGUAAUAACCUAUUUUCAAGCGAUCGAGCUAGAUUCCUUUUGUAAGUAUUGUAUUAAUACAUUAACCUACUCAAUAUACAUGUACAUAUGCAUAUACAUACAUACAUAUACAUAUAUGUAAACUCAAUGUCAUUCUACAUAUUAAUUCUCUAAAAUUAUUUACAUAAAUUUCUUUUCGACUUAGACUAUUACUACGAAGUUAAAGGAAUAAUUGGAUUUUUCAACUCUGCAGCAGAUUUACCUGACCCACUUUUAUACGAACAAAAAUUUAAAAUAAACGGUCGUUUCUUCGAGAUACUUCCACUUGACGUCUACAAGGGACUUUUUCCCAUUGGCAUUUUGCUGGGAGUUCUGCACUCCGGAUCAGGGAUAUUAACAUUGCUUGGUAUAAGAAAUGUGAGUUUUCAUUUGUGUAGCGAUCGUCCUGCCAGACUGAUUUUCUCCCAUAUGUAUCCAGAAAUGUAAGAUCUACUUCUCGACUGGGUUAUUUCUAAGCAGCUUCCUUCCAUACUUCAUGAUUUUCUUGUACUUGUGGAGUAAGUGCGACGAUUUUUGUUACUUAAAUAGACGAAAAGUACUUACUUGCACUUGGUUAAAGCUUUUCAGAUUUGUUUUACCAUCCUAGCCAUUCGACACUUGUUCAAAGACUUAAAUUGGAUGGAUUAAACUUGUCAAAUCAGGGAUGGAAGCUGCUUCAAGCCCUUUGCAGUACCUUCACUAAAGCAAAAUCCAACAGGAAGAGAAAUCAAUAAGUUAAUUUAAUUUAAAAAACAAAAUUAUUACAAUGUUUUUGAUAUACAUAUGAACAACCUCCAAACACUCUUUUUUACAUGAGCCCAUGAGUCGAAACUAGCUAGAUCGAAUAACUGUAUCACGUAUGUACUGAUAUACCUACCUACUUACAUACAUAUAUGGAGUGAGAUUUAUAAAUAUUUACAAAUCACAUACGAGUAUCACUUUGGAAUUGGGAAU